This 121-nucleotide ribosomal RNA is filed under the name Adineta vaga. The record is from RNAcentral. Lineage: Eukaryota; Metazoa; Rotifera; Eurotatoria; Adinetida; Adinetidae.
GCUUACGGCCAUACCACGUUGAAUACACCAGUUCUCGUCCGAUCACUGAAGUUAAGCAACGUCGGGCUCGGUUAGUACUUGGAUGGGGUGACCCGCCUGGGAAUACCGAGUGUCGUAAGCU